CACGUAGUUAGCCGGGGCUUCUUAGUCAGGUAUCGUCAUUAUCUUCCCUGCUGAUAGAGCUUUACAUACCGAAAUACUUCUUCACUCACGCGGCGUCGCUGCAUCAGGGUUUCCCCCAUUGUGCAAUAUUCCCCACUGCUGCUUCCCGUAGGAGUCUGGGCCGUGUCUCAGUCCCAAUGUGGCCGUUCACUCUCUCAAGCCGGCUACUGAUCGUCGCCUUGGUAGGCCGUUACCCUGCCAACUAGCUAAUCAGACGCGGGUCCAUCUCACAGCGAUAAAUCUUUGAAGGAACCUUCAUGCGGAGAUCCCUUGUUAUGCGGUAUUAGCAGCCGUUUCCGGCUGUUGUCCCCCUCUGUGAGGCAGGUUACCCACGCGUUACUCACCCGUCCGCCACUCAGUCAUUACCAUCUUCCCUCCGAAAAGUUCCGUCGGUAGCGCUUCGUUCGACUUGCAUGUGUUAAGCACGCCGCAGCGUCAUCUGAGCCAGGAUCUAAA
Molecule: ribosomal RNA, 495 nt
Filed under: uncultured Lachnospiraceae bacterium
Lineage: Bacteria; Bacillati; Bacillota; Clostridia; Lachnospirales; Lachnospiraceae
Description: partial 16S ribosomal RNA
Source: RNAcentral